Molecule: ribosomal RNA, 527 nt
Filed under: uncultured Gammaproteobacteria bacterium
Lineage: Bacteria; Pseudomonadati; Pseudomonadota; Gammaproteobacteria
Description: bacterial SSU rRNA
Rfam family: Bacterial small subunit ribosomal RNA
Source: RNAcentral
GAAUUUGCCCAGUAGUGGGGGAUAGCCCGGAGAAAUCCGGAUUAAUACCGCAUACGCCCUACGGGGGAAAGAGGAGGCUCUUCGGACUUCUCGCUAUUGGAUAAGCCUGCGUAAGAUUAGCUUGUUGGUGAGGUAAAGGCUCACCAAGGCGACGAUCUUUAGCUGGUCUGAGAGGAUGAUCAGUCACACUGGAACUGAGACACGGUCCAGACUCCUACGGGAGGCAGCAGUGGGGAAUAUUGCACAAUGGGCGCAAGCCUGAUGCAGCCAUGCCGCGUGUGUGAAGAAGGCUCUAGGGUUGUAAAGCACUUUCAGUUGGGAGAAAAAGUUAGUAGUUAAUACCUGCUAGCCCUGAUGUUACCAACAGAAGAAGCACCGGCUAACUCCGUGCCAGCAGCCGCGGUAAUACGGAGGGUGCAAGCGUUAAUCGGAAUUACUGGGCGUAAAGCGAGCGUAGGCGGAUUGGUCAGUUGGAUGUGAAAGCCCCGGGCUUAACCUGGGAACUGCAUUCAAUACUGCCAGUCUAG